This is a non-coding RNA of Physcomitrium patens, 2301 nucleotides long. The record is from RefSeq and is a predicted model, not a curated record. Lineage: Eukaryota; Viridiplantae; Streptophyta; Bryopsida; Funariales; Funariaceae.
UAAGUCCAACAUACUCCCAAGGUCAAGGAAAGGUACCAUUUAUUUUGCAAGUCAAACAUCAAAUUUGGAGCCAUGUAUAUAUAUAUAUAUAUAUAUAUUCUUUUAAGAAUUUAAAAUUUAUUUUUGAAGGCUUCAACUUUGGUUGAGCUCAACUUUUAAUGUAAAGUAGUCCUAAUUCUAUGAAAAUUUUGGUAUAAAGAAGGAAUAAUAUGAUUGGAUUUUGCACCUCAAAAAAGAAUGUAAAUAAGAAAAAAUCAAGUAAUAAGAAUAAGGAUAAGAAGGGAUAAUAAAAAAGCAUAUGUGUCCAAGAACCAUCUUGUCUUGAGUAGGAUGUCUGAGUGACUCUGACAACCACUUCGCAUUUUCUUCUCUCAAAAAACAAAACAAAUGAUCCUGUUUUCACAGGCUCAAUGUUCUUGGUCAUCCAGAUCUGAAAUCACCCAAAUCAUUAUUUAUUUUUUCUUUUCUUUUCUUUUUGGGAAAACAACACAAAUAACAAAAUCUACACAAAAACAAUAUGGAAAAGAAACGAUGUGUAAACGAUAAACCAAAAUCCACGAAUCGGUCAACAUGGACCUUGCAACGACUACACAAUCAGAAGUGCAAUCUGAUACUAAACCCACAUGCACCCUCUACUCCCACUUCCACUCAACUCAACUCAUCAAUCAGCUCAUCAAACUGAAACCAACAUUACAAUCGCAAACAAAAAAAAACAAAACAAAAGUCAAAACACAUCAACUGGGAAGAAGAAUCACUCAACUGGCUGCACAGCCUCACUCCAGUUCAUGUAACCAAGACCCAGUGAGAACAAACACGGUGUGGAAAUGAGGAAGACGGUGAUGGCGAUCAUGAAGCAAGCCAGGCUGAUGAGACUCCAUGAGAGUGAGUGUGAGCGACUGUGUGGGACUAAUCAGACAAUUGCAACGUACGAGGUACACCAUGUACACGAGCGUACUGCGCCAAGCUGUGGAGCCAGGCUGAUUGAUGUGGAUGAGAGACCAACCUUGAAAGUUACAGCGACUGGGCAGAGACUCGGAGCGAUGGAGAUGGAGAUCGUGAUCGAGAUCAAGGCAUGCUCUGCUCUCGUAGCACUGCAGCAGCAGCAGCAACAACGAUGGAGGUGGUGAGAAGUCUGCUGAUUGAUACCUGCUUGGGUACAGACCCACCUGCUGUAGCAGCAGCGGCGGCUGGAAAUAUUUGGUUGCGAAGGGGCUGACGCCAUGAUCUCAAAGGGGGUUUCUAACGGCUACUUCUUCACACGAAGGAGUGGACGGGGUGGGACUUGACAAGCGGGAGAACUGGGUGAUGGUCCAGGCUGGUGGAAGAGCCCUCACAACAUUGGUGUGAUGCAUCUGCAGCGUUUGUCAACGUUUCGUCCCGAUGGACCGUGCCUGAUCGCCGCCGUCGAUUGUUUGGUGCCCCCCUCGCAUCGCCCGUUGUUUUUCAGAAGCAUGGAGGAGAUGACUUUUGGUAAUCAACAAGUGACGACGAAGUUUCUGCCAUGUUUAUUACCUCAUCAUACAGAUGGCGAACAUGAUGAACAAAUCCAUUAUUGGCUCCAUCUUUUCAGUGACUUAUCAUUGUCCUCGGAAACGCUUCUCUAUCAUUGCGAGUGGGUUCGAUCAAGCUAAUCAACGCACGCUCCAUCAUUUCCCCCACUGCUUGCUGAUCACUCUAAUCCUCCACUGAAACGACGACAAUUAGGCUGAAUACACACAGUGCUGCGAGGCUCUCACUGUUUCAACACCGAACCCAGUUCGUCAAACAAGAGGACUUGGGGUAGAUUCCACCAGAGAACCCAUGGCAUUCGCAUUCAAGUGAAUGCAGGACUAGACAAGCCGAGCUCCAUCACGUCAUCGGCUUGCGCAUCGGGUAAACUCAGGGGGGUGUAGAAACCAGAAAUCAUUUGUUCGUUGGGAGGAGCAUCGAUCGAGGGGGACACAGUCCUCCCUUCUUCUUCUUUUUUUUUUUUUUUUUUUUUCCUUGGAGUGGAAAGUCGUGAAGACUCGGGGGGUCCAAGUGAAGUCAACCAAGUCCAUGAUACACAGACCCCUCCUUUUCCCCGUUGCUUCCUACGACGACGAGCACGCCGAUGCGGCACGGCUCACAACAAAUGGAAACAUGUCGCCGGCUCCGUCGUCGUCGUCGUCGUAUUGUGGGACUUCCUCGCACGCGGCACGCAACGUUAGUUCUGUCUGUCUCGGGGAAGAGGGCGGGUCUUGAAUAAGAGCUUGCGUAGAAACUAAUUUCUAUACUUUAUAAUCUAUUUAAAACUAAUGUAACAUGGGGAUUUUUCUUUUU